Molecule: long non-coding RNA, 583 nt
Filed under: Physcomitrium patens
Lineage: Eukaryota; Viridiplantae; Streptophyta; Bryopsida; Funariales; Funariaceae
Description: long non-coding RNA (PPAT_LNC006093)
Source: RNAcentral
AGCUUAAUCAAAUUCAAAAAAACCUCAAAGAAAUUUCAAACAAACAAUAGGAAUUUUUAAAGAAACAUUAGAAAGAAUACAAAUAUCAUUCAAAUACAUCUCAAUUAAAUCUUAAUUUAAUUCUAGUUAAAAUCCUAUUGAAUUUCAUUCAAAAUUUAGGCCAAAACUAAUUGAAUCUUAAAUCCUAAUUAAAUCCUAAAUCCUAAAUCAAACCCCGAUCAAAUCCUAAACCAAAUCCUAACCAAACCCUAAACUAAAUCCUAAAUCCUAAAUCAAAUCCUAACCAAAUCCUAAUCCAAAUCCUAAAUCCUAAACCAAAUCCUAAUCCAAAUCCUAAACCAAAUUCUAAUCCAAAUCCUAAACCUUAAAUCAAACCCUAGCUAAAUCCUAAAUCCUUAAUCAAAUCCUAACCAAACUCUAAAUCCUAAAUCAAAUCCUAACAAAAUCCUAAAUCAAAUCCUAAUUUAAAUCCUAAAUCCUAAAUCCUAAAUAAAACCCUAUCUAAAUUCUAAACCCUAAACCAAAUCCUAAUCCAAACCCUAAACCUUAAACCAAACCCUAACCAAAUCCUAACCAAAUCCUA